Molecule: ribosomal RNA, 464 nt
Filed under: Vreelandella stevensii
Lineage: Bacteria; Pseudomonadati; Pseudomonadota; Gammaproteobacteria; Oceanospirillales; Halomonadaceae
Description: partial 16S ribosomal RNA
Rfam family: Bacterial small subunit ribosomal RNA
Source: RNAcentral
CCUACGGGAGGCAGCAGUGGGGAAUAUUGGACAAUGGGCGAAAGCCUGAUCCAGCCAUGCCGCGUGUGUGAAGAAGGCCUUCGGGUUGUAAAGCACUUUCAGUGGGGAAGAAAGCCUUGGGGCUAAUACCCUCGAGGAAGGACAUCACCCACAGAAGAAGCACCGGCUAACUCCGUGCCAGCAGCCGCGGUAAUACGGAGGGUGCGAGCGUUAAUCGGAAUUACUGGGCGUAAAGCGCGCGUAGGCGGUCUGAUAAGCCGGUUGUGAAAGCCCCGGGCUCAACCUGGGAACGGCGUCCGGAACUGUCAGGCUAGAGUGCAGGAGAGGAAGGUAGAAUUCCCGGUGUAGCGGUGAAAUGCGUAGAGAUCGGGAGGAAUACCAGUGGCGAAGGCGGCCUUCUGGACUGACACUGACGCUGAGGUGCGAAAGCGUGGGUAGCAAACAGGAUUAGAUACCCAGUAGUC